This is a non-coding RNA of Triticum aestivum (bread wheat), 135 nucleotides long. The record is from Rfam. Lineage: Eukaryota; Viridiplantae; Streptophyta; Magnoliopsida; Poales; Poaceae.
UCACUACUCCCUCUGUCAGAAAAAACUUGUCAUCAAAAUGGACAAAAAGGAAUGUAUCUAGAAUUAAAAUACAUCUAGAUACAUCCCUUUUUAUUCAUUUUGAUGACAAGUAUUUUCGGACGGAGGGAGUAUUUC